RNAcentral lists this ribosomal RNA (492 nucleotides) under uncultured bacterium. RNAcentral's name for it is "partial 16S ribosomal RNA". It matches the Rfam family "Bacterial small subunit ribosomal RNA", at positions 29 to 507 of the family's 1533-position model. The record is from RNAcentral.
AGUGAACGCUGGCGGUAGGCCUAACACAUGCAAGUCGAACGGCAGCACAGUAAGAGCUUGCACUUACGGGUGGCGAGUGGCGGACGGGUGAGGAAUACAUCGGAAUCUACUUUUUCGUGGGGGAUAACGUAGGGAAACUUACGCUAAUACCGCAUACGACCUACGGGUGAAAGCAGGGGAUCUUCGGACCUUGCGCGAUUGAAUGAGCCGAUGUCGGAUUAGCUAGUUGGCGGGGUAAAGGCCCACCAAGGCGACGAUCCGUAGCUGGUCUGAGAGGAUGAUCAGCCACACUGGAACUGAGACACGGUCCAGACUCCUACGGGAGGCAGCAGUGGGGAAUAUUGGACAAUGGGCGCAAGCCUGAUCCAGCCAUACCGCGUGGGUGAAGAAGGCCUUCGGGUUGUAAAGCCCUUUUGUUGGGAAAGAAAGGCAGCAGGUUAAUACCCCGCUGUUCUGACGGUACCCAAAGAAUAAGCACCGGCUAACUUCGUG